GGAGGUGUAGCUCAAUGGUAGAGGGCAUGCCUAGCAUGCAUGAGGUCCUGGGUUCAAUCCCCAGUUACCUCCA
This 73-nucleotide transfer RNA is filed under the name Camelus bactrianus (Bactrian camel). It matches the Rfam family "tRNA". Rfam says of the family: Transfer RNA (tRNA) molecules are approximately 80 nucleotides in length. Their secondary structure includes four short double-helical elements and three loops (D, anti-codon, and T loops). RNAcentral also lists the same sequence under 1 other name. Lineage: Eukaryota; Metazoa; Chordata; Mammalia; Artiodactyla; Camelidae. The record is from Rfam by way of RNAcentral.